RNAcentral lists this long non-coding RNA (2127 nucleotides) under Nicotiana benthamiana. Its description in RNAcentral is "long non-coding RNA (NBEN_LNC023059)". Lineage: Eukaryota; Viridiplantae; Streptophyta; Magnoliopsida; Solanales; Solanaceae. The record is from RNAcentral.
ACAGCAUAGAUGUUAAGGAAUAGGUCCCAAAAGAUCUGUCAGCAAUGAAGAAACAAAUGAUUUACAGACUCCAGGCUUUCUUCAUAGAAAAAAUAUCUACUGCAUAAGGAAAAAUCUCUUCUUUAUAGCAUAUCUUGGGUAAGAUCUAUUCUAGGCUAUAGUACAUCCAAAUCCAGCAACUUUUGUUGAUUCUUUGGUCAUCAAAAGCAUCUUCCAUGGUCAUGAUUCCUCCAGCUUCCAAAGCCUCCAUUUCAUCAAUGUUAAACUCUCCUAAUAUAUAAAGUUUUACCUCUUUUUGAAAAAUCCCUGUCUUCGGACCUUUCCUCUACUCUCCCCUCUUCUUCACUAAGCCUCUCAAUUAACCCCCUCAACGCCUCCUUUUGUAAACUUUGAUCUCUUUUAUUUUCCUUAAUUAAACCCACAUUUACCUUCAUGUUAGUCUAAUAAUUAGGGAAAAUAUCCUUGUUUAUUUAGUUCAUCACUACUCACAAUUAAACCCACAUUUACCUUCAGGUUAGUCUAAUAAUUAGGAAAAAUAUCCUUGUUUAUUUAGUUCCGUCAGAACUAUUAUUAAUGAAAAUUAACACUGAACUGAAGCUAUCACUACUCAUAUUUGUCCAUAUCAUCUAGCACUUUCUAUGUUCUAUUGCGUAGCAUCCUUCAUUGGUCAUGCUUAAAUAUUUUACUAUCCUAUUCAAUCGAGUUUAUGACCCUUUUGUUAGAACAAACAACGUUCUAAAGUAACUUAUGAUUAUUAACAAUUUUUAUUAGUAAAACACAAAGAGGAAGAAAAUAAAGUUCAAAUAAAUGAAUUCCUGAAAAAGCACAUAGCUUAAGACAUACAAAGUUAAGUAAAUUAAUCUAUACAUGCCAUAUACAUGAAUGUCACAUUGAAAACAUAAAACAGAAUUAAGAAAUAAGCAAUAAUCAACGAACUCCAAAUGAAUACAAUUUGUUUCAAACGAGGACCAAAUGAAAGAUGGAAUCGAAGGUAAAAAUAAUUUCCUACGAAAUUCCGAAUUAACUCCAAAAAUAAGGUAGCGAAUACAAUUAACUUUUGACCGAAUGUGAACCUAUUUAACCUCAAAGUCAUACAACAGAAUCUUAAAAUGGAUCAUGUCAGCUGAAUACAUUCCAGAUUCUACUCAAAAGAUCGACUUUACAAAAAGAAUCAAUCUCAUAAUCUAAUUUGAGUAACGUACAGAAUCUUAAAAUGGAUUAUGUCAGCUGAAUACAUUCCAGAUUCUACUCAAAAGAUCGAAUUUACAAAAAGAAUCAAUCUCAUAAUCUAAUUUGAGUAACGUACAAACCACAAUAAUUUGAAAUUAAGAUAUAUGAACAAGAGUAAGAAGAAAAGACAAAAACCUGGAAAAUGAAACUGAUAAUGGUUUACCUGAGUUAAUGUCCUGCCAUGGGCAUAAUAAGAAGAUCAACGGUACAAGUUUUCUCAUACUAUACUCUGUAUCGCCCUAGUGGGAUCUUGAAAUAGAGUGUCUGACAUAUUCCUUCACUUGAUUCUCUCAAUCCUAUAUAGCAGAGGUAGUUGGUAACGCUUGAGAGAAACUGAGAAAGAGCAGCAAACAAGGGAAAUUUAACAAUCUCGAAGCAGAGUUGGUCGGCCAAAUAAAAGGAUAUGAACGAAAUUACAAAAGCAAACUACAGAAGAAAUUGAUCUAUGUGCAGAAUAAAUUAUAAAAACCUAAAGGCAAAAAAAAAUGGAAGAAUAAAACUCACUCUAUAACUAUAACAGUGUCUAACUAUAAAAUCAUAUACGGUGAGAUGGAGAAGUAGUCCUUCAAAAUUCCAGAAAGAUAAGAACAAAAGAAGUUAUUGGAGACCGAUCAUUUUCAGUCGUGGAAUAAGCUUAGCGCAAAUCCAUAUGUCGUUUCAAUGGCAAAGAGAACAACACAUGCGGCAAUCAAAUUGUUUGGUGCCAUCAGAAUUGGAUCUUAGUUCAGUCGGAGAACUCGUCGAGGAAGGAACAAAGCUGGAUUGGAAGACGAAUGCAGAAGCAGAUGGAGAAGGGCAAAAAUGUAAUAUCCCGUGCAUGUGAAUCGCGCCAUAUCCUUGAAGCAAAUCUUUGAGUGACUCAUGAGAAACUUAAUAUAAGCAAAUUUACGAAUUUGC